This 1243-nucleotide ribosomal RNA is filed under the name metagenome. RNAcentral describes it as "bacterial LSU rRNA". It matches the Rfam family "Bacterial large subunit ribosomal RNA", at positions 1564 to 2816 of the family's 2925-position model. The record is from RNAcentral.
UGAAUACGAGAUGCUACGGCGUCGAAGUAGUGUAUGUCAGACUUCCAAGAAAAGCUCGCAAUGUCAUAAAUAAAGAAUGCCUGUACCAUAACCGACACAGGUGGGUAGGUAGAGUAUACUAAGGGGCGCGAGAUAACUCUCUCUAAGGAACUCGGCAAAAUAACUCCGUAACUUCGGGAGAAGGAGUGCCUUCUAUUAGAAGGUUGCAAUAACAAGAUCCAAGCAACUGUUUAUCAAAAACACAGGUCUCCGCUAAGUCGUAAGACGAUGUAUGGGGGCUGACGCCUGCCCAGUGCCAGAAGGUUAAAGAAGUUGGUUAGCUUUGGCGAAGCUGAUGACUGAAGCCCUGGUGAACGGCGGCCGUAACAAUAACGGUCCUAAGGUAGCGAAAUUCCUUGUCGGGUAAGUUCCGACCCGCACGAAAGGCGUAAUGAUUUGGAUACUGUCUCGGAGAGAGACUCGGUGAAAUAGACUUGUCUGUGAAGAUGCGGACUACCUGCACCAGGACAGAAAGACCCUAUGAAGCUUUACUGUAACUUGAAAUUGAAAUUGGACUUUAUUUGCGCAGCAUAGGUGGAAGGCGUUGAGAUUACCCUUGCGGGAGUACUGUAGCCAUCAGUGAGAUACCACUCCUAUAAUGUUAGAUUUCUAACUUUGGAUCAUGAUCUGGUCAAAGAACAGUUUCAGGCGGGCAGUUUGACUGGGGCGGUCGCCUCCCAAAUGGUAACGGAGGCGUACAAAGGUUUCCUCUGAACGGGUAGAAAUCGUAUCUAGAGUGUAAAGGCAUAAGGAAGCUUGACUGUGGGACCUACAAGUCGAGCAGGGACGAAAGUCGGUCUUAGUGAUCUGACGGUGCUGAGUGGAAAGGCCGUCACUCAACGGAUAAAAGUUACUCUAGGAUAACAGGCUGAUCUCCCCCAAGAGUUCACAUCGACGGGGAGGUUUGGCACCUCGAUGUCGGCUCAUCGCAUCCUGGGGCGGUAGUACGUCCCAAGAGUUGGGCUGUUCGCCCAUGAAAGCGGUACGCGAGCUGGGUUCAGAACGUCGUGAGACAGUUCGGUCCAUAUCCGGUGUAGGCGUUAGAAUAUUGAGAGGAGCCUUCUUUAGUACGAGAGGACCGAGAAGGACAUACCUCUGGUGUACCAGUUAUCGUGCCAACGGUAAACGCUGGGUAGCUAUGUAUGGAGAGGAUAACCGCUGAAAGCAUCUAAGUGGGAAGCCCACCUCAAGAUGAGUAUUCUCA